AAAGUCCCCUUCGGGGGGCGAGUAGAGUGGCGCACGGGUGAGUAACACGUAGGUAAUCUACCUUUGGAUUGGGAAUAACAACCGGAAACGGUUGCUAAUACCGAAUAAUGCAGCGGCACCUAAUGGUGACAGUUGUUAAAGCGGGGGAUCGUAAGACCUCGCGUCUGAAGAGGAGCCUGCGGCAGAUUAGCUAGUUGGUAAGGUAACGGCUUACCAAGGCGAUGAUCUGUAGCCGGCCUGAGAGGGCGGUCGGCCACACUGACACUGACAUACGGGUCAGACUCCUACGGGAGGCAGCAGUCGGGAAUUUUGGGCAAUGGGCGAAAGCCUGACCCAGCAACGCCGCGUGAAGGAUGAAAUCCUUCGGGAUGUAAACUUCGCAAGAACGGGAAGAAUAAGUAAGAGUUAAUAUCUCUUACGAUGACGGUACUGUUUGUAAGCUCCGGCUAACUCCGUGCCAGCAGCCGCGGUAAUACGGGGGGAGCAAGCGUUGUUCGGAUUUACUGGGCGUAAAGGGCGCGUAGGCGGCCACCGCAAGUCGACUGUGAAAUCUCCGGGCUUAACCCGGAAAGGUCAGCCGAUACUGCGGGGCUAGAGUGCAGAAGGGGCAACUGGAAUUCUCGGUGUAGCGGUGAAAUGCGUAGAUAUCGAGAGGAACACCUGCGGCGAAGGCGGGUUGCUGGGCUGACACUGACGCUGAUGCGCGAAAGCUAGGGGAGCGAACGGGAUUAGAUACCCCGGUAGUCCUAGCCUUAAACGAUGAAUGCUUGGUGUCUGGGGUUUUAUAGUCCCCGGGUGCCGUCGCUAACGCUUUAAGCAUUCCGCCUGGGGAGUACGGUCGCAAGACUGAAACUC
RNAcentral lists this ribosomal RNA (855 nucleotides) under uncultured Bacillota bacterium. RNAcentral's name for it is "bacterial SSU rRNA". It matches the Rfam family "Bacterial small subunit ribosomal RNA", at positions 70 to 902 of the family's 1533-position model. Lineage: Bacteria; Bacillati; Bacillota. The record is from RNAcentral.